UCCACAGAAGAAUAGCAACACAAUAUGCAGGAUCAAGCUAAUGCGAUAAUAGUACCGUUAUAUCCAAAAGGAGUCAUGAGGCACCGGCGAGAAUUAAAUCACGUUAUCUCAUUUAAGCAGCGUACAAUACACGGAUUACACUGCACCUUUAUGAAUGCAAUUGAACAAUUACAGUAAAGGAGAGUGUUAAUAGUUUUGAGGGAGAAAAACAGUGUUUCAUAUGAUUUGAACCAUGUCCACAAUGGUAUUGUACAUGUACAUCUCAACCAGAAAAUACUAAAACCAUCAGGAUACAUUCAUCCUCUUUGUUUACCAUGUGCAGCAGCUUGGGAACAUGAGGUAGCAUCUGCAGGGCUAGACUCACCAUGUUCAGAACUUCACUUGCUGGCCUGCACAUUUAUCAUACUCCCUGGGUAGAGAGACUCCACUCAGUUUUCAACCUUAGUGAUCUGCUAAUAUGUCACCAUUUCUCGACCUACUUCUGUCAUUUUUUUCUCCUAUUAUGCAUAAAUUUAAUAAAUAUUGAAGUUUCGAUGUUUCCAUUAAAAAAAAAAAAAAAAAA
This is a long non-coding RNA of Anneissia japonica, 562 nucleotides long. RefSeq lists it as uncharacterized. Lineage: Eukaryota; Metazoa; Echinodermata; Crinoidea; Comatulida; Comatulidae. The transcript has 2 exons. The record is from RefSeq and is a predicted model, not a curated record.